GAUGAACGCUGGCGGCGUGCUUAACACAUGCAAGUCGAACGGACAGGCCCUGCUUUUGUGGGGUGCUCGAGUGGCGAACGGGUGAGUAACACGUGAGUAACCUGCCCCUGUCUUUGGGAUAACUUCAGGAAACUGGGGCUAAUACCGGAUAGGAGAUCCUGCUGCAUGGUGGGGGUUGGAAAGUUUCGGCGGUUGGGGAUGGACUCGCGGCUUAUCAGCUUGUUGGUGGGGUAGUGGCUUACCAAGGCUUUGACGGGUAGCCGGCCUGAGAGGGGGGCCGGCGACAUGGGGCCUGAGAGACGGCGCAGAAUCGUACGGGAGGCAGUAGGGGGGAAUAUUGCGCAAUGGGGGGACGCCUGAUGCAGCGACGCCGCGUGCGGGAUGACGGCUUUCUGGUUGUAAACCGCUUUCGCCGGUGCCGAAGCGUGAGUGACGGUAAUGGGUAAAGAAGCACCGGCUAACUACGUG
RNAcentral lists this ribosomal RNA (468 nucleotides) under uncultured bacterium. RNAcentral's name for it is "partial 16S ribosomal RNA". It matches the Rfam family "Bacterial small subunit ribosomal RNA", at positions 28 to 507 of the family's 1533-position model. The record is from RNAcentral.